UCUGGCGAUGACGACACACUUGCCCUCACUGAGAACAGCGUUCGCUGAUAGAGAGCAGUUUUUAUGCGCUCAGUGGAGCUGAGCCAGA
Gymnogyps californianus (California condor) is the source of this 88-nucleotide small nucleolar RNA. RefSeq annotates it as small nucleolar RNA SNORD103/SNORD85. The record is from RefSeq and is a predicted model, not a curated record. The transcript has a single exon. Lineage: Eukaryota; Metazoa; Chordata; Aves; Accipitriformes; Cathartidae.